Molecule: ribosomal RNA, 464 nt
Filed under: uncultured bacterium
Lineage: Bacteria
Description: partial 16S ribosomal RNA
Rfam family: Bacterial small subunit ribosomal RNA
Source: RNAcentral
CUACGGGUUGCUGCAGUGAGGAAUUUUGCGCAAUGGGGGAAACCCUGACGCAGCAACGCCGCGUGAGUGAAGAAGGCUUUCGGGUCGUAAAGCUCUGUCAGAUAGGAAAAAAGUUCAUAUGUAAAUAGCUUAUGAAUCUGAUGGUACUAUCAGAGGAAGCACCGGCUAACUCCGUGCCAGCAGCCGCGGUAAUACGGAGGGUGCAAGCGUUGUUCGGAAUUACUGGGCGUAAAGGGCGUGUAGGCGGUAUGGUAAGUCAGAUGUGAAAGCCCUGGGCUUAACUCAGGAAGUGCAUUUGAUAGUGCCAUCCUUGAGUAUGGGAGAGGAGAGUAGAAUUCCCAGUGUAGAGGUGAAAUUCGUAGAUAUUGGGAGGAAUACCCGUGGCGAAGGCGACUCUCUGGACCAAUACUGACGCUGAGACGCGAAAGCGUGGGGAGCAAACAGGAUUAGAUACCCGGGUAGUC